UCGAGUUACCAAACUCCAAACCAUUGUGAACAUACCAUCGUUGCUUCGGCGGACCCGCCCCGGGCGCGCGCUCGCCGCGCGACCCGGACCCAGGCGGCCGCCGGGGGACCCAAACUCCUGUAUUUUCAGAGUAUCUUCUGAGUGGCAUAAGCAAAUAAAUCA
RNAcentral lists this unclassified non-coding RNA (162 nucleotides) under uncultured Hypocreales. RNAcentral's name for it is "sequence contains ITS1". The record is from RNAcentral. Lineage: Eukaryota; Fungi; Ascomycota; Sordariomycetes; Hypocreales.